CGGAGGAUCCAAGCGUUAUCCGGAAUCAUUAGGUUUAAAGGGUCCGUAGGCGGUUUAGUAAGUCAGUGGUGAAAGCCCAUCGCUCAACGGUGGAACGGCCAUUGAUACUGCUAGACUUGAAUUAUUAGGAAGUAACUAGAAUAUGUAGUGUAGCGGUGAAAUGCUUAGAGAUUACAUGGAAUACCAAUUGCGAAGGCAGGUUACUACUAAUGGAUUGACGCUGAUGGACGAAAGCGUGGGUAGCGAACAGGAUUAGAUACCCUGGUAGUCCACGCCGUAAACGAUGGAUACUAGCUGUUGGGAGCGAUCUCAGUGGCUAAGCGAAAGUGAUAAGUAUCCCACCUGGGGAGUACGUUCGCAAGAAUG
Molecule: ribosomal RNA, 366 nt
Filed under: uncultured organism
Description: bacterial SSU rRNA
Rfam family: Bacterial small subunit ribosomal RNA
Source: RNAcentral